CCUACGGGGUGCAGCAGUAGGGAAUUUUCGUCAAUGGGCGCAAGCCUGAACGAGCAAUGUCGCGUGAACGAGGAAGGUCUUCGGAUCGUAAAGUUCUGUUGAAGGGGAAAAAGAGCGGAGAGAGGAAAUGGUCUCCGAUUGAUAUUACCCUUCGAGGAAGUCACGGCUAACUACGUGCCAGCAGCCGCGGUAAUACGUAGGUGGCGAGCGUUAUCCGGAAUGAUUGGGCGUAAAGGGUGCGUAGGCGGCCUGCUAAGUCUGGAGUGAAAGGUACCGGCUCAACCGGUACAGGCUCUGGAAACUGGCGGGCUAGAGAGCAGGAGAGGGCGGUGGAACUCCAUGUGUAGCGGUAAAAUGCGUAGAUAUAUGGAAGAACACCAGUGGCGAAGGCGGCCGCCUGGCCUGUUACUGACGCUGAGGCACGAAAGCGUGGGGAGCAAAUAGGAUUAGAUACCCCAGUAGUC
RNAcentral lists this ribosomal RNA (464 nucleotides) under uncultured bacterium. RNAcentral describes it as "partial 16S ribosomal RNA". It matches the Rfam family "Bacterial small subunit ribosomal RNA", at positions 338 to 795 of the family's 1533-position model. The record is from RNAcentral.